UCUUGUAUUCUUGCAUCUAGCAUUUUCCUCGCUGUAGUGAGGUGAACAGUUGUGUGUUUCACACGGCUGCAAAAUAUUUUUUACCUUCGUGCUUUUGAAA
Long non-coding RNA from Maniola jurtina (meadow brown), 100 nucleotides. RefSeq lists it as uncharacterized. The transcript is spliced from 3 exons. The record is from RefSeq and is a predicted model, not a curated record. Lineage: Eukaryota; Metazoa; Arthropoda; Insecta; Lepidoptera; Nymphalidae.